AUUUCUACUCUCUUCAACCUCAACCUUCUGGAUUCCGUCACUCUCACCGGAUUGACUUCAAUGUCCUUGGAACCUCCACUACUACUACUACUACUCCACUCAUCAAAGAAUCCGCUGGAUUAUCAGACGCUCCUCUUCCUUUCCUUUCUAAUCCUUGUCUCUCUUUCAACUCCAGCGGUUUUCAUCAUUAUUCAUUUGGUGGCUAAAUAUUACUCAUGGGACGUUUCUAGAGAAUGCAAGACCAUGUUUGAGUGAGAAAUUGGUCUCAAUGAAAUUGAGAGUUCAAUGAACAGCACAUACAAUGCAAGUAAAUCUACCUACUCAAACCCAUCUUCUAUUUCUAAAGCAGAAGGGCUUUCGGUGGCUGAACCAAGUUACAGAAGAGCAACUGAAAGCUUAUGAUCAGCUCUAAACCAAUUUUCCAGCACAAAGCCAGAGUGGAUCCCAAGUACAACGGGAAGGUUGUUAAAAUCGAAUCUCUUAUGUCUUAUUUCAUAACUAUUUAGUUUUGAUCUUAACUACAACAAUUUUCAUUUUUUUCUAGGUGAACAUUGUAUGUGCUUAGAAAUUAAGUGUUUUGAAAAUUAGAGGUGAGCAAUCACACUUAGAAACUAAGUGUAGAACCAUAGAAAUGUUACCCCAUCGGUUCUAGCAACGCCUAGUUACCGCAUUUCAUAACAAAGAAAGAAAAGAGGCUCGUAAAUGCAGACCA
Molecule: long non-coding RNA, 712 nt
Organism: Cucumis sativus (cucumber)
Lineage: Eukaryota; Viridiplantae; Streptophyta; Magnoliopsida; Cucurbitales; Cucurbitaceae
Exons: 4
Source: RefSeq, a predicted model, not a curated record